GACAGUGGUUAAGUGCGCAUGUUCUGCUUCGGCGGCCUGGAGUUCCCUGGUUUGGAUCCUGGGUGUGGACAUGGCACAGCUUGGCAAGCCAUGCUGUGGUAGGCAUCCCACAUAUAAAAUAGAGGAAGAUGGACACGGAUGUUAGCUCAGGGCCAGUCUUCCUCAGUAAAAAAAAAAAGAAAGAGAGACUUAGAAACUGCUUCCUCAUGGAUCUGGAUUGCGACCUGCUCUUUGCCAAGUGCCACCCUCGAGGCAUCUCUGUGUCAUCACCCACAUUUUACCUGCUUGCUAAUCACCGAAGAUUCAGCGUGAACCAUCACAGCACAGGCAGUCCGCCCAUCUCAGAGACGCCAGACUGAGUCAUUCUCCUGGAGGUGACAUGGAGACCCAGGAUGAAGCUCUGAAAUCAGCCUAGGCAGUAUUCCCCUAGGCUCUCUGAGCUCCCUUUCUGAAGCAAGUGAGACUGCCAGAAAGCUAAGUAUCUGCACUGAACUUCCUUGGUUUGUAAGAGAGAUGUCUUCCCAGGACAGUGAUAUAAUGUUCUGUCAUCAGUAUUUUUUUAAUAAAGAUAUAAUUGACAUAUAACAUUGUGUAAGUUUAAGGUAUACAGCGUGCUGAUUUGAUACACUUAUAUAUUGUGAAAUGAUUACCGCCUAGCAUUAGCUAACACCUCCAUCACUUCACGUAAUUACCAUUUCUUUUUCGUGGUGAGAACAGUUAAGAUCUACUCUCUUAGCAACUUUCAAGUAUAUAAUACAGUAUUGUUAACUAUAGUCACCAUGCUGUAAUUACUUCCCCAAAACUUAUCAUCUUAUAACUGAACAUUUAUACCAUUUGACCAGCUUCUCCCCAUUGCCCCCACUCAUUAGCCCCUGGCAACCACCGUCCUACUCUCUGCUUCUAUGAGUUCGACAUUUUUAGAUUCCAUAUAUAAGUGAGAUCAUACAGUAUUUGUCUUUGUCUGUCUGACUUAUUUCACUUAGCAUAAUGCCCUCAAGGUCCACUGGUGUUGUUGCAAAUGGCAGGAUUUCUUUUUUUCUCAUGGCUGAAUAAUAUUCUCGUGUGUGUGUGUAUGUCAUUGUAUAUAUGUAUACAAUGGAAAUGAAAACAGGAUCUUGUUCAUUGCACUCUCAUGUUCAUUGCAGCAUUAUUCACAAUAGUGAAGACACGGAAAUAAUGUUUGUCAAUGGAUGAAAGGAUGAAGAUGUGAUAUAUAUGGAUAUUAUAUGUAUUAUAUAUUAAUGUUAGAUAUUAUAUAUGUGAGAUGUUUAUCACAUCUUCUUUAUCCAUAUCUCUUCUAGAUCUUGUUUUUAUUUUCUUUGGAUAUAUACGCAGAAGUGGGAUUGCUGGAUCAUAUGGUAGUUCUAUUUUUAAUUUUUUGAACAACCUCCAUACUUUUUCUAUAGUGGAUGCACCAAUUUAUACUCCCAACAGUGCACAAGGGUUCUCUUUUCUCCACAUCCUCACCAACACUUGUUAUCUCUUGUCUUUUUGAUGAUAGCCAUUCUAAGAGGUGUGAGGUGAUAUCUCAUUGUGGUUUUGAUUUGCAUUUCCUUGAUGAUUAGUGAUGUUGAGCACUUUUUCAUGUACCUGUUAGCCAUUUGUAUGCUUUCUUUGGGAAAAUGCCUAUUCAGUUCCUCUGCUCAUUUUUGUAUAGAAUUGAAUUUUUUUUUUUUUUUUUUUUUGCUCUUGAGUUGUAUGAGUUCUUCCUCUUGGAUACUAACCCCCUAUCUGUUCCAUUGGUCUAUGCAUCUAUUUUUGUGCUAGUACCAUACUGUUUUGAUUACUAUAGCUUUGCAGUAUAGUUUGAAAUCAGGAAGUGUCAUGUCUUCAGCUUUAUUCUUCUUUCUUAGGAUUGCUUUGGCUAUUCAGGGUCUUUUGUAGUUCCAUACAAAUUUUAGGGUUAGUUCUUCUAUUUCUGUGAAGAAUGCCAUUGGAAUUUUGAGUAGAGAUUGCAUUGAAUCUAUAGAUGGCUUUGGGUAGUAUGGACAUUUUUAACAAUAUUAAUUCUUCUGAUCCAUGAACAUGGGAUAUCUUUCCAUUUAUUUGUGUCUUCUUCUUUUAUCAAAGUCUUAUACUUUUCAAUGUACAGAUCUCUUACCUCCUUGGUUAAAUUUAUUCCUAAGUAUUUCAUUGUUUUUGAUGCUAUUGUGAAUAGUAUUGUUUUUUAAAAUUUCGUUUGCAGAUAUUUCAUUGUUAUUGCCUAGAAAUGCCACUGAUUUCUGUAUGUCGAUUUUGUAUCCUACAAUGUUACUGAAUUCAUUAAUUAGUUCUAACAGGUUUUUGGUGGAGUCUUUAGGAUAUUCUAUGUAUAAGAUCAUAUCACCCACAAAGAAGUCAACUUUACAUCUUCCUUUCCAGUUUGAAUGACUUUUGUUUCCUCUUCUUGCCUGAUUGCUCUGUCUAGGACUUUCAGUACUGCUGAAUGAGAAUGGUGAGAGUGGGCUCUCUUGACUUGUUCCUGAUCUUAGAGGAAAAGCUCUCAAUUUUUCAUUUUUGAGUAUGUUAACUUGUGGGAAAUCAAAAAAUAUCUUGAAACAAGUGUAAAUGGAAACACAACAUGCCCAAACCUAUGGGUUAACAAAAGCAGUUCUAACAGGGAAGUUUAUCGCAAUAAACACCUGCAUUAAGAAAAAAGAAAUAUCUCAGAUAAGAUGUCCUCAUAAUUUUGUGAAAGGUUGAGCUUUUAAAAAAUCACUCCAAGAACAUUUCUUUCCCUAAGUUGCAUCCUGAGAUACUGAUGAUGAUCAUUGAGUUGUUCAAAGAGCGUACUAUGAUGUUCUUGAAAAUUAAUCUUUAUCAUGUGUGAUCGCUAAACCAGCUGCAUCAAAAUUACCAGGAGUUGGUAUUGAAUAUGUGGGCCCCAGGUAAGACGAUCUGAGUCGGAAUCUGCAAAAGGAUCCCUGGAAUUUGUUUUACACAGGCUUCCCAGGUCAUUUGUAGGGGCCCUAAACUUUGAGAACCACUGUUUUAGAGUUUUGCACCAGAGAAAACAGCAUUUCUUUAGACCUAAGUGAUUGUGAUUAUCUCAUGUGAUUUUUGAACUCCAUGGCUUUUGGUUCAAGCAUCUCUCCUUUUUUUCUUACUCUAACCAUUUUGUCCUUGUUUUAAUCAUUUAAAUGUAUAUUUAAGCCACCUCAAACAUUUUCAGAAGCUGACAAGUUAUGAAUAAUUAAAGAAUAAAGUUAGGGAGUUAUAAAAUAAUAGUUUCCCCCCUGCUUCUGACUUAUAUAUACUUGUUUCAGGCUAGGCAGAUUUUUUUUAAUAUGAAAAUUUUACUUUUUGAUAAAGUUGUUUUACACUUACACCUUUGACUUAAAAGCUCACAUUCUGACUCAUCUAUUUGCACACUACAGUUUGACUCCAGGCUUACAUUCCCAGCAUCUACAACUAAUUGCACUUAUUUAAAAAUGUGUCUCAUUUCCUAAGUAUCUCUCUUGGGGUCUGUAAGGGGUCCAGCUGUGAGUGCAGAAGGCAAAGGGGCCAUGGAGAAAAAGGUCCCAGUAAUGCUGUGUGUUGCUGCCAAAGGUCUGGUACCGUAGCUUGCUUUACAACAAACACAUUUCCCAGGGACUAUUGGAAAGUAAAGACGUAGUGAAGAUAUUCAUCUAUCUUUAGUGUCAGACAAACUUGGUUUAAGUUCUAGCUUUGUCACUUACUGCUGUAUAACUAACUGUGGACAUGAUUCUUAACCUGUUAAGCUUUGGUUUCAGAGAUUUCAAUGGAGGAAACAGCAGCUCUUAGUGGCAGAUUGGAUAAAGUGGGUGAAGGUGAGGAAUGAAGCCAAGAAGAUGCUGGGACUGUUUUCUGGAGGUCAGGAAAACGGGGUUAUUUCCAUCCACACUCUUUAGGAGCCUUAGGAUAUUUGGGGGCUGACCACAACAACUUAAUCAGGCAGAUCCCAAUUUUAGCAUCCCAAGAGCCCUUUUCAAAUUGGUGUUCUAUUUCCCUUUACAGAUGCCUGCUGACUAUCUUAGUAGGGAUCUUUUAAGGCAGUGGUGGCAAACUACAGCCAGUGGGCCAAAUCUAGCCCACAUCCCCUGUUUUCGUAAAUAAAGUUUUAUUGGAACACUGUCACAUCCACUCAUUCAUUGAUUCCUGUAUCGUCUACGGCUGCUUUCGUGCUACCACAGCAGAGUUAAGUGGUUGUGACAAAGACCCAGUGGCUCACAGAGCCUAAAAUAUUUACUGUCAGGUUGUUCCCAGAAAAUGUUUGCUGCCCCUUGCUCCAGGACAAGGCUUCCUUUCCCCCUUGUCUCUCCCCUCAGGGCCUGUGGAGGAGACUGGCUGAUCUGAGACGUUCUCUUGAUGAAGAUGUUCCUGGUGUCAGCCCUCCUCUGCAGCAUUCUCUUUUCAGCAUCAACCUUUAGAAGCCUUGCCCUAAAAAGGGAGCAGUGUAGAAACCGAAGGCAGAAUCAAAGGGGUACAUUUUGGAUUGUGGAAAUUUUGUCAUUACUCAAGUCACACUGCAUCGACAAAACACUUACAGAAACUGAACAUAUUUUUGCAAUUGGUAGAACUGAAAACAGCUUUUGCUCACAGACCUUCUUCCUGGUCACUAGGAUCAGUGUUCUCAAAUUAGAAGGGAGGCAGGGUAAAGGCAAGAAUGGGCAACAGUAGGGCAGUUUGGGGGCUACUGCUUAACUCUUCAAGCCUGUUGUGUUAUCUCCUCCAUGCGCUGAGGACUUGACCAUCUUGGGAGAGCAAAGAGGUCCUUGAGGCUAAUGAAAGCUGGCUGAUGACAGCUAAGUCCUGCUGCUUCUUAGGCCAAAUACUAACCAGGUCUUUUGGGCUGCCUUGGAGAACUCCCCAACCGCCUCCAGGUUAACGCAGAGCCUUGGUGGCAGACAGCUUUGCUGUCAAGUUCUGAGGUUGACUCCCCACUCCUGAUGCCAGCCUCCUCUGCCUGGGCAGAAGUACACCUCCCAGUCCUUCCUGACCCCAUCCCAGCUCAGUCGGCAUUUCCUUCCCCCUUUGCCUGCUUUUCGCACUUCUCUUCCUUUGGACACACUUUUCCUUCUGUCCUGACUGCCCUUCAUCUUUGGGGGGCAAACCUCCAUUUCUCCUUCUCAUCCCAGAUCUAAUGUCUCCUCUGCUGUGACUCUUUCCCUGACUCUGCCAGACAGAAUCUCUUCUCUCCGCGACCUCAGAAUAUUUUCCUACUCUGUUGUAGCCCCACUCAGAUGGUGUAUUUACAUUUUUAUCUCUUGCUCCCUCAGAUAGUGGGCGAAGACUACAUCUUUUUCAUUUUUGUUCCUAGCAGUGUCUGGCACAUGAGAGAGCACCAGUAAAUGCAAAGCAAUAAAGCAUUGAGGUUACUGGCAGGAAUUAGAAUCUGUGGGACCCUGGGCAAGUUACUUACCUCUUUAAGCCUCGCUUCCCAGCUGUCAUGUGGGAAUAAUAAUAACAAUUCAGCCAUAGGAUUAUCGUAAGGAUUAAAUAAACUGAUAAGAUAAGGUGCUUAGCAUAGUGCCUGGUACACAGUAAAGUCUCAGCUGCUGCUAUUUCUAGUAAAACACUCCAAUUAUUUAAUUAUCUAACGUAAUGAACAACAGUACUGAUGAUAACAGCAUGAUGACUGAAUAAACUGAUGGACGAAUGCUCAUUUUAUUCUCUCAUCCCCUUGAUGGGGCCAUUGACAAAGACCCGUGUGCCACCUAAACGGAAAAGCUGUCCUUGGUAGUGAGGGAUCCGGCUUCUCCCAAAGCUUCUCCUUUUCUGGAAGGCCUUUUCCCCACUUGGGCAAAGUUUGGAGUCUCUGAACUUUCCUUUUCUUCAAUCAGGUCAAGCGAUCCUGUGCAGGGGGGAACCAACACCAAAGGCCAAGGAAUGGGCUCCAACACCCCAACUCAUUAAUAUCGUCAGCAUCUUAACAAAUGGGAGGCCGGAGAGCCAGACCGAGCAGCCACUUGGUCACAUGGAGGGGGUCUGCCCUGGGGCCCUGCGCACAUUGAGCGGCCGGGUACAAGUGCCAUCCAUAUUUCUCUGCACAGCCCCGGCCCCCACCUCCCAUGUCAGCCUGCUGAGCGGGCUUGGCCAAGGUUCUUGUGCUUCACAGAGAAGAUUUAUUCCUCAAGACUGACCUACAUGGACGUAUGUAUCUAAAUUCACAAAAGCUUGAGUUUGAUGGCAAGCAACAAAAGGUCAGAGGAAAAGCAGGCAAGGCAUUUAAAUCAAAAUGAUGAAACUGGGUAAUUUCAUUAGCAACAGUUGUAUUUACUGGAAGUCACAGAUGGUGCAGUUUAGCUCAUAGCCAAGUUUUUAGGACAAAAUAAGAAUGAAGAAAGAAAUAUUUCAAGGGAGAGGUGGUUAAAAAUUAAAUAGGCACCAGAUGGCUCAAGAUUGUCCUUCCUAUAAAUUUGGUGAACGAAGGCAUGCUGAAUCCAAAGGCUUUCUGAAUGGGAUUAGAGCCUGGAAAGGGACUUUAAGAAUAUAUAAAUAAGGCCUUUAAAAGAGGGAGAUAUCAAGUUUGAAAUUAUAUUGAGUGGAGGUGACAGUUAAUUAAAUAAAUCAUAUUACAUUCAUUUAUUUAUUUAGCAUUUAUUGAGAACCUACUGUGUGCUAGGUCCUAUUUUUAAUGUCUGUUAGUGAUACAAAGGGAGGUUAUAUUUUCCUGGAAUGUGGGAAAUCUUCAAGCUUAGGCUAAAAGAGGGAAAACCGUAGCUUUCAAAUGCAUUUGGCCAUGGAGACACACUUGUUUCUCCUCUGGUGCAUUUGGUAAGAAAUACUUCAAUGAUUUCCCAACUUUGUCUAAACCCUUUACCAUGCACGGAGCACUUCCUGAGCUGGCACUGUCUACCCAACUAGAUCUGGAGUUCUCAAAGCUGCUUUGCAUCAGAUUGUCUGAGGACCUGCAAUUCAACAAGCAGCUCAGUUGAUGCUAUUGCAUGCUAAGGAUUGAGAGCUACUGUUCUAGACUCUUCCUUUGCCAGUCCUCAUCAUGUCUUCUGUUCAGCAUGCUGGGAGCUAGUUGCCACUCCUGAACUCCCAAGUCUGGUGCCUUACACCUUUGCACAAAGUAUUCCCUAAAGCACAUUGACCAUUUUGUUCUCAUGCUCACCCCUCAAGUCUCAGCUUAAGAAAAAUCUCCUCUGGAAACACCUUUCUUACUACCAGGAGCCAGAUGGUAGAGCUGUUGUAUGAACUUUGUUACUUGAGUGGAAUAGGGACCUUUGCGGAGUUUUGAGUAGAGGAGAAACAAGAUAUGACGUGUUUAACAGGCUCAUUCCGAGAGUUUCCAUUCUAGUAAUGAGAAAGUGGCUUUUCUCGGACUAACCUCCUGCUGAUACAGACUAUGGACAACAUAUGAAACAAUUGUUUGAAGGCCCUGGAAAGCAAUAUAUAGCAGGCGGAAGCUGGAGGGGACAUGACCUUUGAAAUAAGGGAACGAUAUCGGGUAACCUUUUCUCUUAAGGGCCCCUCGCUGUCUAUGUGGUACAUGGUGGGGAGCUCAAUUGGAAAGCCGCACUCUUACUGACCAUCAGGUUGCCAGAGCAACUGAUAAUUGGGGCACGAUAUCCUGGAAAGUGAUGGCCAUCAAAGCUGCACACAGGCUUCCCUCAGUAACUUGGCUGCCCCCUGAACUACGCACGGACAGGGUGAUUCUAGGAUCCCAGAGGCAAAAUGACAACAGGUCAUUAAAAGAGCUCAGCAGAGAUUUCGGCCUUCUAUAGGGGGACUGAGUUUGGAGUUGAAUCCUGCCCAGUCUUGGAGGGGCUGAGUAAACACCUUGGGCUUACCAUCAAAAUCCCGGAAAGACCACACGUUAUAGUAAAGACCAUAUUUUAGGACUAAGGCACUGAAACAGACCUGCCCUAUCAAAGCCUAAAAUUAAGCCUAGUUCAAGGUGGUCCACCAGUAUUUAGAUGUCUGCAAGGACAAAACUCAGCACUGCUCAGAGGAGGCUCUAUGAUGUAUCAUUCACAAUAUCUGCACACCUUUACAUGAUAGAAUUCCCCCGGGCGAGGAGGCUGGGAGCGCAUUCAUUUUAAGAUUUUACAUCCUCUGCCUGUGUUUUUGAUUUUUUAUCUAUUGAAAAAAAUUUCUGUCCUUAAAUCAUUUCAAAUUAAGUAAUCCCAUACUGUAAAUGCUUUUGAUUGUCAGAGUUCCAGGAUCCAAUACCCAGUGAUGUUUCCAGUGUCACUAUCUGGUGUAGUAGGAAGCUAUCUGUUUGCCUUUUGGGUCACUGUCCGUGUUUUCUCCACAACUUUAGCUCUGUUUCACUUUACAUUCGUCAACACCACUCUCUCUAAUUCUUGAUAACUUCAUUAUAGGCAUAUGUGAUGUUUCCAGCAUUUUGGCUUCCUGAUUCCUCGAGCUCCUUUUGCAGAUGAUUCCAUCCCAUUCUAAUUCAGCCACUCACUUCAAGGUGAAACCCUAGGCCUUGUCAUUACUAAUAACUACAAUGCCUCCGACAACGUCAUUUUCAAACAUGCAUCUUUCUGACCACCACCUUCUCUCUUUCUAGCUUUCAUCCUUUCCUAGCCAGCUCCAACAGCCCCUCACUGAUUAGCCAUUGAUCCACCUACAUUAUGUCCUUCUCUAACUUUCCAGAAACCUUCUCCUCUCUCCUUGCUAUUUCAAUGUCUUUGCACACACCCCUCCUUCUUGCCCCUCUCCCACUUCUACAUUCUGGCUUGGUUAACCACAAGCCUGGUUAAAUCCAACUCGUUGUCUCCUACAAGCCUGUGCCUGUACAGCAGGAGAAAAACACAAAACUAGGCUGAGGGCUUCAACAGAGCCCUCAAUGCUAUUUUCCCUCCCACUCUCAGAGACCACUGUUUCCACUUUCUUCUUUCUCCUCAAACCCCUGAAAUCUCUUCCUUAUCCUCCCAUUCAGACUCUUUGCCUCCUAUUUGACUGAAAAAAAAAAAUGAAUAAAAGAAGGAAUCAGCAAAGAGCUUACAUAGACUGCCCCCAUGUCUCCCCCUUUCCGUCCUGUGCCCAUUUACUCUGCCUGAUGAUACCCAUGAAAAGCCGCUAAGGCCCAUCCCUCCACAUGGGUACCACCUCUCGAGAGUGUUGCCCCAGCACUUCUCUUCUCUCUCUUCUAGAAUUCAACUGGUUCCCUCCCCACUGUAUUAUUCCUGGCAGCACACAGAUCAAUUAUAAAAAUUAAAACUCUUUGACUCCAUGUUUCCCUUUAACUGGUGCCCUAUCAUUCCUCGUUGCAGCCACUCUUCUCAAAAGCGCCGUCUCUGGUUGCUGCCCAGUGUGACUCUUGAGCUCUGACAUCUUUGCAGUAUUCUCGAGGUGAUUAGUAUAUGAGGUGAUUAGUACAGUGGUAGAUUGUCUUUUUGCUUUCUCUUUAAGCAACGUUGUAUUUCAGUGGAGUUACGGGUAAUCAUGGUUUUCUUUCUUUUACUUAUUUGUUCUUUCUAAAUUUUCUAUGAUGAAUAUGCAAUGCUUUGGUUAAAGUGGGAAACAAUAAAAUUACAUAAAAAGAAACACCAUAUUUUAUGAAUAAUUUGCAAUCAGUUUUUAUAGCAAAAAUUGGCAGCAGGUUGGAGUGGAAUGGCCAUCGGGAUUGGGGCCAGUUCUACUCCUGACUUGCUCUUGAGAAGCCACUUAAGUUCUCUGAAUUUCAGAUUCCUCAGCUGUGAAGGGGAGAAACUGCCAUUUUCCCAGCCUUCCUUCCGUUCAACAAUUUUGUGAGACUCUUAAAAGAAAAUGGAUGUGAAUAUGCUUCGGGGGCUAUACAGAUGUAAAUAAACCCUUAUUACCCCUUACCCAGACAUUUGCUGUGAGCUACAUGGAUGACAUCCUCCUUUUACUAACGAGGAAACACGGCUGCUGAGACGUGGCAGGUUUAAAGCCACAUCAAAGGAGGUUGGAGUAUGAUGAUAGUGGAAGAUCCUUGACUAGGAUGGAAGUGUUGAACUACCAGAGAGGCACAUUUUUAGUUGCUAAGUUGCUCUCCAGGUGAUUGUACUGAUUUAUACUUCUACCAGCAGCAUGUGCCCUUGGAGCCCCUUUCAGAGAGAAGAGACAGAGAUUGCUGAGACCAACCUCAUCUCCCCAAUUCCUGGAAUAAAUGAUGCAAUUUUACACUAGUUUCUGCCAAGACUUUCAGGUCCAGCUCACGUACCGCCUCCUCCAUCAUGAUCACCUGGUCUUGUAUUGGUCACAUCAACUUCCCACCUGCCACGGCCAUGUUCCCAGCGAGGUGAUCAUCACCCUGGCGGCAAGGACACCUAGCACAGCUUUGGCACUUGAAGCAGACACUCAGCAAAUAAUUUUGGACAAACACAUUUCAAAAUCCAUGUGUUUUCCUGUGGUUAACUAAUUGGGGACUUCCAUCCUGACCCGGACCACUUACUAGAACCAGAUGUUUCUCCAAGUUAUUUUAGGGAUUGCUUUGUAGAAUGGAAUUUUGACUCCUUUUUCCAAAGAUAAAGGAAAGCCUGCUGGGUUAUUGCUCUCUGCCUACAGAAUGUACAGAAGGGAAAAGCCUUUCAUGGAUGACUGAUUUCUAAAGCAGAUGUGCCAACUUCCUUGGGCUAAAAACUCUUUAGUUGGAAAUGAAUCAGGGCAUUUUUAAUAAGAGUUUUUAGAACGUGUACUUCGAGCAAUGCUAAUAACGAUCAGCGUGAUGGCGACUUGGUUCAAGGGUUUCGAGGAUCGAGGGUGCUAAUAAAACCACUCAGAGGACCCUGUGAUCACCCGAUAUCGAAGAACUAAUGAAGGACUCAGUGCACAAAAGUGUCUCUUGUCAGAGGGGAAGUAUUUGUGCAUGGUCUCUUCCAACCAUGCACUUGACAAGGACAGAAAUACAAAAGCAUUUGUGGCCACCCGGCGGAGAGUUUCCUGGUGCCUUGGUUUAUUAUUCCUACUAUUGUACUUCCUUCUUCCCUAAAAAUCUUUUAUUUCCCUCUUUGCCUUUUCAGUUGGCUUCAGCAGCUCUUGUGAGUUUUCAUCAGCACACUUCAUUCUUUACUGAACAAUGGAAAGAUAAGGGAGGGG
Long non-coding RNA from Equus caballus (horse), 10962 nucleotides. Lineage: Eukaryota; Metazoa; Chordata; Mammalia; Perissodactyla; Equidae. The record is from Ensembl.